ACUCAAAUGAAUUGACGGGGACCCGCACAAGCGGUGGAGCAUGUGGUUUAAUUCGAGGCAACGCGAAGAACCUUACCAGGCCUUGACAUGUCCAGUUUGGUCGUCAGAGAUGACUUCCUUCAGUUCGGCUGGCUGGAACACAGGUGCUGCAUGGCUGUCGUCAGCUCGUGUCGUGAGAUGUUGGGUUAAGUCCCGCAACGAGCGCAACCCUCAUCCUUUGUUGCCAACAGGUAAUGCUGGGAACUCUAAGGAAACCGCCGGCGUCAAGCCGGAGGAAGGUGGGGACGACGUCAAGUCAUCAUGGCCCUUACGGCCUGGGCUACACACGUGCUACAAUGGCGGUGACAGUGGGCAGCUAACCAGUAAUGGUAUGCUAAUCUCUAAAAACCGCCUCAGUUCAGAUUGUCCUCUGCAACUCGAGGGCAUGAAGUCGGAAUCGCUAGUAAUCGCGGAUCAGCAUGCCGCGGUGAAUCCGUUCCCGGGUCUUGCACACACCGCCCGU
RNAcentral lists this ribosomal RNA (502 nucleotides) under uncultured bacterium. RNAcentral describes it as "partial 16S ribosomal RNA". It matches the Rfam family "Bacterial small subunit ribosomal RNA", at positions 899 to 1397 of the family's 1533-position model. The record is from RNAcentral.